This 301-nucleotide ribosomal RNA is filed under the name uncultured bacterium. Its description in RNAcentral is "partial 16S ribosomal RNA". It matches the Rfam family "Bacterial small subunit ribosomal RNA", at positions 512 to 808 of the family's 1533-position model. The record is from RNAcentral.
CAUAGCCGCGGUAAUACGUAGGGUGCAAGCGUUAAUCGGAAUUACUGGGCGUAAAGCGUGCGCAGGCGGUUAUAUAAGACAGAUGUGAAAUCCCCGGGCUCAACCUGGGAACUGCAUUUGUGACUGUAUAGCUAGAGUACGGCAGAGGGGGAUGGAAUUCCGCGUGUAGCAGUGAAAUGCGUAGAUAUGCGGAGGAACACCGAUGGCGAAGGCAAUCCCCUGGGCCUGUACUGACGCUCAUGCACGAAAGCGUGGGGAGCAAACAGGAUUAGAUACCCGAGUAGUCCCUGUCUCUUAUACA